Ovis aries (sheep) is the source of this 72-nucleotide transfer RNA. It matches the Rfam family "tRNA". Rfam says of the family: Transfer RNA (tRNA) molecules are approximately 80 nucleotides in length. The record is from Rfam. Lineage: Eukaryota; Metazoa; Chordata; Mammalia; Artiodactyla; Bovidae.
UCCCUGGUGGCUCAGAUGGUAAAGCAUCUGCCUGCAAUGUGGGACACCCAGGUUUGAUCCCUGGCUCAGGAA